RNAcentral lists this ribosomal RNA (238 nucleotides) under uncultured bacterium. RNAcentral's name for it is "partial 16S ribosomal RNA". It matches the Rfam family "Bacterial small subunit ribosomal RNA", at positions 524 to 757 of the family's 1533-position model. The record is from RNAcentral.
UACGUAGGGUGCGAGCGUUAAUCGGAAUUACUGGGCGUAAAGCGUGCGCAGGCGGUUUGCUAAGACCGAUGUGAAAUCCCCCGGGCUUAACCUGGGAACUGCAUUGGUGACUGGCAGGCUAGAGUAUGGCAGAGGGGGGUAGAAUUCCACGUGUAGCAGUGAAAUGCGUAGAGAUGUGGAGGAAUACCGAUGGCGAAGGCAGCCCCCCUGGGGCCCAAUACUGACGCUCAUGCACGAA